CUCCCUUUUCUCUUCUGGUUGAAGUGUUUCGACACUCGGAAUGAGAGCUGGGAAAGAAUAGACCCGCGAUGGAUAAAUUUACGUGGUAGUCUGUGGUUAAAGGGGAGAGGAGGAGCCCUGAGAGCAGAAUGUGGGAUCUUAGUUCCCCAACCAGGGUUGGAAUCUGUGCCCUCAGCAGGGGAAGCGUGGAGUCUUACCCACUAGGCCGCCAGUGAAGUCCCUAAGGAAUUCAUUUUUAUAUGGGGAAAAGUGAAGUCGCUCAGUCGUGUCCAACUCUUUGUAACCCCGUGGACUGUAGCCCACCAGGCUCCUCCGUCCAUGGGAUUCUCCAGUCUCCUGAUGAGGGAUCGAAACUACAGCCCAGCGCUGGAAGCAUGGAGUCUUAACCACUGGACGGCCAGGGACGUCCCAGCUUCGUUUCUUGGUUGACAUGAAGAUGGCAUGUUAAUGAAUAAAUCAUUUCUUAACUUAUCCAAUAGAGCCUGGAGAUUUUAGUAUUGUUAUUUUCCAGGACAAGAUCAGGGACUUGUAUCAGUCAGAGUUCUACUAGUAAGCAAACGAACACUUCCUUGAUGACACGAGUAGAAAAGGAAUUUAUUGAACAUAUAUCGCGUAACUCACGGGACUUCGGGGAAGACCUGAGAACCAGGUUUGAGCGAGCAUGUGCCGCUUGGGGCAACACCGAAAAGCACAGAGUGGGAGCGGCUGGGAUUUGCUUCACGGGAAAAAGCAGUUAAGAGAAACAGCGCAGCCUCCAUAUUCUAUGUCUUUUCCCCGUGCUUUUGAGGGAGACGAGUUUCACACGACUUUAAUCAGCACAAUAACCUCAUGAUUGUUCCAUUCCUAAUCUCUAGUCCCAUGGACUGCAAGGAGAUCCAACCAGUCCAUCCCAAAGG
This is a long non-coding RNA of Capra hircus (goat), 896 nucleotides long. RefSeq lists it as uncharacterized. The record is from RefSeq and is a predicted model, not a curated record. The transcript is spliced from 3 exons. NCBI's taxonomy places the organism in Eukaryota, Metazoa, Chordata, Mammalia, Artiodactyla, Bovidae.